This 185-nucleotide ribosomal RNA is filed under the name uncultured Bacteroidota bacterium. RNAcentral's name for it is "uncultured Bacteroidetes bacterium partial 16S ribosomal RNA". It matches the Rfam family "Bacterial small subunit ribosomal RNA", at positions 120 to 305 of the family's 1533-position model. Lineage: Bacteria; Pseudomonadati; Bacteroidota. The record is from RNAcentral.
UACAAUCUGCCUUUAACAGGGGGAUAGCCCGGAGAAAUCCGGAUUAAUACCGCAUAAAAACACAGCACAGCAUUGUGCAAUGUUCAAACAUUCAUGGGAUCAAGAUGGGCAUGCGUGCCAUUAGCUAGUUGGCGGGGUAACGGCCCACCAAGGCUACGAUGGCUAGGGGAUCUGAGAGGAUGGCC